GGGGGUGUAGCUCAAUGGUAGCGCACUUGCCUAGCUUGUGUGAGGCCCUGGGUUUGAUUCCCAGCACUGCCA
This 72-nucleotide transfer RNA is filed under the name Heterocephalus glaber (naked mole-rat). It matches the Rfam family "tRNA". Rfam says of the family: Transfer RNA (tRNA) molecules are approximately 80 nucleotides in length. Their secondary structure includes four short double-helical elements and three loops (D, anti-codon, and T loops). The record is from Rfam by way of RNAcentral. Lineage: Eukaryota; Metazoa; Chordata; Mammalia; Rodentia; Bathyergidae.